This 326-nucleotide ribosomal RNA is filed under the name uncultured bacterium. Its description in RNAcentral is "bacterial SSU rRNA". It matches the Rfam family "Bacterial small subunit ribosomal RNA", at positions 28 to 334 of the family's 1533-position model. The record is from RNAcentral.
GAUGAACGCUGGCGGCGUGCUUAAUACAUGCAAGUCGAACGAAGCACUUUUGACAGAUCCCCUCGGGGUGAAGAUGAUUGUGACUUAGUGGCGGACGGGUGAGUAACGCGUGGGGAACCUGCCUCGUGCUGGGGGAUAACAGUUAGAAAUGACUGCUAAUACCGCAUAAGCGCACAGUAAGGCAUCUUACAGUGUGAAAAGAUUUAUCGGCAUGAGAUGGACCCGCGUCUGAUUAGGUAGUUGGCGGGGUAACGGCCCACCAAGCCCGCGAUCAGUAGCCGACUUGAGAGAGUGAUCGGCCACAUUGGGACUGAGACACGGCCCAG